Molecule: long non-coding RNA, 758 nt
Organism: Lolium perenne
Lineage: Eukaryota; Viridiplantae; Streptophyta; Magnoliopsida; Poales; Poaceae
Source: RefSeq, a predicted model, not a curated record
UUGAGAAAGCUGAAAAGGUGGCGGGAAAACAAUUAUGGAUGAAUUUAUCGCUAAGCAGCUCUAAGGCGACCACGCACUAUUAUGUAAUUGAAGAGUGGGAAGUUCAUGGAGAAAAAGAUCGUUGUGUUACCAAUGAUUCUUGCUACCUAAUUAUAUGAACCGCCUCAAAUCUGUCAGUUGGAUGAAAUUGAUGCGGACCUGGAUCAUCCUUACAUAGAAGCUGAUGGGGAGAGGUGGAGCUGGUGGUGUCCUGGAGGAAGAUGGUCUUCACCUUCAUAUUUAUUCUAUCAUUAAAAAAUAUUCAUUGAUCAUGAUAUUUUUUAGGGCACUAUACACAUAAAACAGGGUACUGCAAUUUGAUAUUGACUUUAUUUGCAUGUUACAUGUCUUCAUAUUCAGGAAUGGAUGACAUAGGAAAUUGACUGGAGAGCUCUUUCAGGGGUGGUGACAAUGCAUGUUUGGCAUGAACAUGUCGAGCAGAGGUGAAGGCAGACCAUGAGCAUUUUGAUCACCGAUGGCCACAGUUCCACGGAGCUGCUAAUUUAACCUCUUACAAAUGGGUCCUUUGUUGUCCAAGGACUAAUUAAUAUAAGUGGUUGUAUUCAAAUUAGUGAGGAGUGUAGUAUGGGGAGGUUCAUAACUAUGGAAUAUAGGUUACAACUCUGCAACUGCAAGUUCAGUAAAGCAUGUAAGCACGAUGUAUAAGGAAAAUAAGCGACGAGGUUAACUCUCCUGGCAAGCAAUUUAUUCCGAUGAAA